Molecule: ribosomal RNA, 478 nt
Filed under: uncultured bacterium
Lineage: Bacteria
Description: partial 16S ribosomal RNA
Rfam family: Bacterial small subunit ribosomal RNA
Source: RNAcentral
GACGAACGCUGGCGGCGUGCUUAACACAUGCAAGUCGAACGGUAAGGCCCUUCGGGGUACACGAGUGGCGAACGGGUGAGUAACACGUGGGUGAUCUGCCCUGCACUUCGGGAUAAGCCUGGGAAACUGGGUCUAAUACCGGAUAGGACCACUGCCUGCAGGGGUGGUGGUGGAAAGCUUUUGCGGUGUGGGAUGGGGCCGCGGCCUAUCAGCUUGUUGGGGGGGUGAUGGCCUACCAAGGUGACGACGGGUAGCCGGCCUGAGAGGGUGACCGGCCACACUGGGACUGAGAUACGGCCCAGACUCCUACGGGAGGCAGCAGUGGGGAAUAUUGCACAAUGGGCGCAAGCCUGAUGCAGCGACGCCGCGUGAGGGAUGACGGCCUUCGGGUUGUAAACCUCUUUCAGCACCGACGAAGCGCAAGUGACGGUAGGUGCAGAAGAAGGACCGGCCAACUACGUGCCAGCCGCCGCUGUAA